GGCAGAAAGAGAAGAGGGAGAGAAUGAGGUGACAGAAAGAGAAGAGGGAGAGAAUGAGGUGGCAGAAAGAGGAGAGUGAGAGAAUGAGGUGGCAGAAAGAGAAGAGGGAGAGAAUGAGGUGACAGACAGAGAAGAGGGAGAGAAUGAGGUGACAGAAAGAGAAGAGGGAGAGAAUGAGGUGACAGACAGAGAAGAGGGAGAGAAUGAGGUGACAGACAGAGAAGAGGGAGAGAAUGAGGUGACAGAAAGAGAAGAGGGAGAGAAUGAGGUGACAGAAAGAGAGAGGGAGAGAAUGAGGUGACAGAAAGAGAAGAGGGAGAGAAUGAGGUGACAGAAAGAGAAGAGAAGAGAAUGAGGUGACAGACAGAGAGAGGGAGAGAAUGAGGUGACAGAAAGAAAAGAGUGAGAGAAGAAAAAUAUUUCAAGACAUGAGAGCAAAGCCAGCGCUGCAUGUUUCAUAUUCGUUUAGUUGAUUUUCAUUUCCUCCUCUCACCUCUCUCUCCUCAACCCCUCUCUCCUCAACCCCUCUUUCCUCAACCCCUCUCUCCUCACCCCUCUCUCCUCACCACCUCUCUCCUCACCACCUCUCUCCUCACCACCUCUCUCCUCAACACCUCUCUCCUCACCAACUCUCUCCUCAC
This is a long non-coding RNA of Oncorhynchus tshawytscha (Chinook salmon), 641 nucleotides long. The record is from Ensembl. NCBI's taxonomy places the organism in Eukaryota, Metazoa, Chordata, Actinopteri, Salmoniformes, Salmonidae.